RNAcentral lists this ribosomal RNA (738 nucleotides) under Bacillus sp. (in: firmicutes). RNAcentral describes it as "bacterial SSU rRNA". It matches the Rfam family "Bacterial small subunit ribosomal RNA", at positions 92 to 814 of the family's 1533-position model. Lineage: Bacteria; Bacillati; Bacillota; Bacilli; Caryophanales; Bacillaceae. The record is from RNAcentral.
UUAGCGGCGGACGGGUGAGUAACACGUGGGUAACCUGCCUGUAAGACUGGGAUAACUCCGGGAAACCGGGGCUAAUACCGGAUGGUUGUUUGAACCGCAUGGGUCAAACAUGAAAGGUGGCUUCGGCUACCACUUACAGAUGGACCCGCGGCGCAUUAGCUAGUUGGUGAGGUAACGGCUCACCAAGGCGACGAUGCGUAGCCGACCUGAGAGGGUGAUCGGCCACACUGGGACUGAGACACGGCCCAGACUCCUACGGGAGGCAGCAGUAGGGAAUCUUCCGCAAUGGACGAAAGUCUGACGGAGCAACGCCGCGUGAGUGAUGAAGGUUUUCGGAUCGUAAAGCUCUGUUGUUAGGGAAGAACAAGUACCGUUCGAAUAGGGCGGCACCUUGACGGUACCUAACCAGAAAGCCACGGCUAACUACGUGCCAGCAGCCGCGGUAAUACGUAGGUGGCAAGCGUUGUCCGGAAUUAUUGGGCGUAAAGGGCUCGCAGGCGGUUUCUUAAGUCUGAUGUGAAAGCCCCCGGCUCAACCGGGGAGGGUCAUUGGAAACUGGGGAACUUGAGUGCAGAAGAGGAGAGUGGAAUUCCACGUGUAGCGGUGAAAUGCGUAGAGAUGUGGAGGAACACCAGUGGCAAAGGCGACUCUCUGGUCUGUAACUGACGCUGAGGAGCGAAAGCGUGGGGAGCGAACAGGAUUAGAUACCCUGGGUAGUCCACGCCGUAAACGAUGAGU